Long non-coding RNA from Astatotilapia calliptera (eastern happy), 1028 nucleotides. The record is from Ensembl. NCBI's taxonomy places the organism in Eukaryota, Metazoa, Chordata, Actinopteri, Cichliformes, Cichlidae.
UACAUUUACAAAAGUUACUAAAGUGGAAGAAAAUAAAAACUGUAACUGGUGAUCUCUCUCUGGGCAUUUGUUCUCGGUAGGUUAUGAAGAUAUUCUUCGAUCGUUAUGUGUUUGUAGUUUUACUUUUUCAGGGUUGAGUUAGCACGUUUAUUGUGUAAUGUAUUUUCUGAAAUUAUACGUUUUUGUUUUCCAUUAUUUCAUCAAAUGUGAAAAGCAUAAAUAUCUACUUCUAUCUUGUUGAUAAUGUUUAAAAACACAGAAGGAGCCCGUUUAAUCUUUCGUAUUAAAAAUGAAGCUGCUGUGAGGACGUUGAACACGGCGCUGUCUCUGGUGCUGAAAUUAGUUUGAUUCCACUGCACUUAGCUAUAAUUUUGUAUUUUCUAAUUAGUUGUUUUUGUAUUCAGUGUCCUUUUUUCAUUCAUUUUUUUAAGUGUAGUGUAGGUUUUUUUCUGUUAAUUCAGAUUUUUUUUCCACACCUCAUUUUAUUUUGUAGCUUAGCUUCGGUUAACUACAUUAACUCUUCUAUAAAUAAACACAAAUAUCUUUAUGCCCAGUUUGUGGUGUAUAAAUAGCUCUAUUGUAAAGAUGUGUAGAGGUGAAGGGCUAAUUGAUCAAGUAGUGGGGCGGUCACGUGCCCGCCCAAGUCCAUGGGUUCACUGUUGAGUUCUCAUUAAUUUCUGGGGCUAUUCCGCCACAUUUGAUAGUUUGCGUUAUUCAGCUAUAACUAAAUAAACUAAUCAAAUGACCGAGUGACGUAAAGUCAUCCGCAUGACCAUUUUUAUCACUGCCAAUUCUAUCACAGCACCCUGCUGCUUUUCUGUUUCUUUCCCCGUAGGAUUGUCUCCCACUUCUUUAAUGUCAUUUCUCUCCCUUACCUAUCCUCUUGUGAAUUAUGAAUUCCGCCGCUUUUCACAGGCUUAAUGUCAGAGUUACAGAUAUAUGGGACAGCUCAGGAACUGCACUGUAUCACAAAGUCUUCCACCGUGUAAACCUGAAAUCAGUGUUGCAGCUGACCUGUUCCGCUGUGG